This 406-nucleotide ribosomal RNA is filed under the name uncultured bacterium. RNAcentral describes it as "partial 16S ribosomal RNA". It matches the Rfam family "Bacterial small subunit ribosomal RNA", at positions 30 to 526 of the family's 1533-position model. The record is from RNAcentral.
AUUGAACGCUGGCGGCAGGCCUAACACAUGCAAGUCGAACGAGUGGCGGACGGGUGAGUAAUGUCUGGGACACUGCCCGUUGGAGGGGGAUAACUACUGGAAAAGGUAGCUAAUACCGCAUACCAUCGGAUGUGCCCAGAUGGGCUGAGCUAGUAGGUGGGGUAACGGCUCACCUAGGCGACGAUCCCUAGCUGGUCUGAGAGGAUGAACAGCCACAUUGGAACUGAGAUACGGUCCAGACUCCUACGGGAGGCAGCAGUGGGGAAUAUUGGACAAUGGGCGCAAGCCUGAUGCAGCCAGGCGGCGUGGAUGAGGAAGGCCUUCGGGUUGGAAGGUACUUUCAGCGAGGAGGCGUUACUCGCAGAAGAAGCACCGGCUAACUCCGUGCCAGCAGCCGCGGUAAUUC